Molecule: unclassified non-coding RNA, 212 nt
Filed under: Hevea brasiliensis (rubber tree)
Lineage: Eukaryota; Viridiplantae; Streptophyta; Magnoliopsida; Malpighiales; Euphorbiaceae
Source: RNAcentral
AAAGAUUGUUAAUCAAUUCUUUGUUAUUUUUAUUUUUACAAGGAAAUAUAUGUAUUUAUUUUCAUAUAAUUAUUUAAAAUGGGCCCCCUUAAAUAAAAUUUCUAGCUCCGUUACUAACAAUAUGCACAUUCUAAAAACCACAAAACAAAUUAUAUUUAUUUGCACCUCUUACAUAUGACCAAUAAAAAUUAGCUUCAAACCAUACAAACGAU